Molecule: small RNA, 491 nt
Filed under: Pongo abelii (Sumatran orangutan)
Lineage: Eukaryota; Metazoa; Chordata; Mammalia; Primates; Hominidae
Description: retained intron
Source: RNAcentral
ACUAAGUAACGAAUAGUUGUCUGACUUGCAAAUUGUUGGUUUCAAGGUCAACAUCUGAACUUUCUUUAUUGCUUCCUUUAAAAUUAAGAAGUUUCUGGAUUAAUGGUAGUUAUCACUCCCAAAUUCAGAUUCUGCAUAUCAGCCUAGCUGUCCCUAAUGUAGUAGUCUAAUUAGAAGGAAAAUUGCUGGAAUAACCCUGCAGGUUUAUCUCACUUGUUUCUGGUUUCCCUUUUGAACCUUUCAGGUACGACAGUGCCAGCCCACAGGGCCAUCCUGGUGGCCCGUUGUGAAGUGAUGGCAGCCAUGUUUAAUGGUAAUUACAUGGAAGCAAAGAGUGUCCUGAUUCCCGUUUAUGGUGUUUCCAAAGAGACUUUCUUGUCGUUUCUAGAAUACCUGUACACAGACUCCUGCUGCCCAGCUGGCAUAUUCCAGGCCAUGUGUCUCCUGAUCUGUGCCGAGAUGUACCAAGUGUCCAGACUGCAGCACAUCUG